This 492-nucleotide ribosomal RNA is filed under the name uncultured bacterium. Its description in RNAcentral is "partial 16S ribosomal RNA". It matches the Rfam family "Bacterial small subunit ribosomal RNA", at positions 29 to 507 of the family's 1533-position model. The record is from RNAcentral.
AGUGAACGCUGGCGGUAGGCCUAACACAUGCAAGUCGAACGGCAGCACAGUAAGAGCUUGCUCUUACGGGUGGCGAGUGGCGGACGGGUGAGGAAUACAUCUGAAUCUACUUUUUCGUGGGGGAUAACGUAGGGAAACUUACGCUAAUACCGCAUACGACCUACGGGUGAAAGCAGGGGAUCUUCGGACCUUGCGCGAUUAAAUGAGCCGAUGUCGGAUUAGCUAGUUGGCGGGGUAAAGGCCCACCAAGGCGACGAUCCGUAGCUGGUCUGAGAGGAUGAUCAGCCACACUGGAACUGAGACACGGUCCAGACUCCUACGGGAGGCAGCAGUGGGGAAUAUUGGACAAUGGGCGCAAGCCUGAUCCAGCCAUACCGCGUGGGUGAAGAAGGCCUUCGGGUUGUAAAGCCCUUUUGUUGGGAAAGAAAAGCAGCAGGUUAAUACCCCGCUGUUCUGACGGUACCCAAAGAAUAAGCACCGGCUAACUUCGUG